CGGUAGAGAGAAGCUUGCUUCUCUUGAGAGCGGCGGACGGGUGAGUAAUGCCUAGGAAUCUGCCUGGUAGUGGGGGAUAACGUUCGGAAACGGACGCUAAUACCGCAUACGUCCUACGGGAGAAAGCGGGGACCUUCGGGCCUUGCGCUAUCAGAUGAGCCUAGGUCGGAUUAGCUAGUUGGUGGGGUAAUGGCUCACCAAGGCGACGAUCCGUAACUGGUCUGAGAGGAUGAUCAGUCACACUGGAACUGAGAACGGUCCAGACUCCUACGGGAGGCAGCAGUGGGGAAUAUUGGACAAUGGGCGAAAGCCUGAUCCAGCCAUGCCGCGUGUGUGAAGAAGGUCUUCGGAUUGUAAAGCACUUUAAGUUGGGAGGAAGGGUGUAGAUUAAUACUCUGCAAUUUUGACGUUACCGACAGAAUAAGCACCGGCUAACUCUGUGCCAGCAGCCGCGGUAAUACAGAGGGUGCGAGCGUUAAUCGGAAUUACUGGGCGUAAAGCGCGCGUAGUGGUUAGUUAAGUUGGAUGUGAAAUCCCCGGGGCUCAACCUGGGGAACUGCAUUCAAAACUGACUGACUAGAGUAUGGUAGAGGGGUGGUGAAAGCGUGGGAGCAAACAGGGAUUAGAUACCCCUGUAGUCCACGCCGUAAACGAUGUCAACUAGCCGUUGGGAGCCUUGAGCUCUUAGUGGCGCAGCUAACGCAUUAAGUUGACCGCCUGGGGAGUACGGCCGCAAGGUUAAAACUCAAAUGAAUUGACGGGGCCCGCACAAGCGGUGGAGCAUGUGGUUUAAUUCGAAGCAACGCGAAGAACCUUACCAGGCCUUGACAUCCAAUGAACUUUCUAGAGAUAGAUUGGUGCCUUCGGGAACAUUGAGACAGGUGCUGCAGGCUGUCGUCAGCUCGUGUCGUGAGAUGUUGGGUUAAGUCCCGUAACGAGCGCAACCCUUGUCCUUAGUUACCAGCACGUUAUGGUGGGCACUCUAAGGAGACUGCCGGUGACAAACCGGAGGAAGGGGGGAUGACGUCAAGUCAUCAUGGCCCUUACGGCCUGGGCUACACACGUGCUACAAUGGUCGGUACAGAGGGUUGCCAAGCCGCGAGGUGGAGCUAAUCCCACAAAACCGAUCGUAGUCCGGAUCGCGUCUGCAACUCGACUGCGUGAAGUCGGAAUCGCUAGUAAUCGCGAAUCAGAAUGUCGCGGUGAAUACGUUCCCGGGCCUUGUACACACCGCCCGUCACACCAUGGGAGUGGGUUGCACUCAGAAGUACUAGUCCUAAC
Molecule: ribosomal RNA, 1281 nt
Filed under: Pseudomonas fluorescens
Lineage: Bacteria; Pseudomonadati; Pseudomonadota; Gammaproteobacteria; Pseudomonadales; Pseudomonadaceae
Description: partial 16S ribosomal RNA
Rfam family: Bacterial small subunit ribosomal RNA
Source: RNAcentral